GACGAACGCUGGCGGCGUGCUUAACACAUGCAAGUCGAACGGAAAGGCCCUGCUUUUGUGGGGUGCUCGAGUGGCGAACGGGUGAGUAACACGUGAGUAACCUGCCCUUGACUUUGGGAUAACUUCAGGAAACUGGGGCUAAUACCGGAUAGGAGCUCCUGCUGCAUGGUGGGGGUUGGAAAGUUUCGGCGGUUGGGGAUGGACUCGCGGCUUAUCAGCUUGUUGGUGGGGUAGUGGCUUACCAAGGCUUUGACGGGUAGCCGGCCUGAGAGGGUGACCGGCACAAUGGGGGUGGGGAUACGGCCAAGACUCCUCGGGGGGGCAGCAGGGGGGAAUAUGGCAAAAGGGGGGGAAGCCUGAUGCAGAAACGCCGGGGGGGGGAUGACGGCCUUCGGGUUGGAACCCGCUUUCGCCUGUGACGAAGCGGGGGUGACGGUAAUGGGUAAAGAAGCACCGGCUAAUUAGGU
RNAcentral lists this ribosomal RNA (467 nucleotides) under uncultured bacterium. RNAcentral describes it as "partial 16S ribosomal RNA". It matches the Rfam family "Bacterial small subunit ribosomal RNA", at positions 28 to 506 of the family's 1533-position model. The record is from RNAcentral.